UUUUCUUUACCUUCCUUUUCUCUCCCUCCAUCUCCCUCACACACACCCAGCCCCUUCCCCUCUUCCUUCUUCCUCUCUUCAUCUCCCUCUCACACUCUCUCACAUACCCAAACCCGGGAGUAUGAGUGACUGAAACUGAGAGGGAGAGCCUGAGAAUGAGAGAGAUCUGGCCAAGAGAAGAAGAAAAGAAGAAUGAGAAUAAAAUGGCUCGUUUCAUAAUUAGAGACUUCGGCUUGUUCUCCAAUCUAGAGUUCAAGUAACUAGAACACGAGAGAAAUGUUGGAGUCAUAAGUCCAAUGUAGCCAAGGUACUCCACCUGUAGUAGAUGGUAUUGUAGCAGUGUAUUCAGAAUAUUAUGACUAAAGCUAGCCGCGAUUGUCAUAAUUGCUGGACCACGGGUGUCCACUGUUUUAUAGGUUUGGUAUAUGACUUGUGACGGUUGUAUCACUUAUUCUUUAUAAAGCCAUUCUUGUUGUGUAAUUAUUAUAUUGAUAAGACUUAGACAAAUAGAUGUU
Molecule: long non-coding RNA, 515 nt
Organism: Alnus glutinosa
Lineage: Eukaryota; Viridiplantae; Streptophyta; Magnoliopsida; Fagales; Betulaceae
Exons: 3
Source: RefSeq, a predicted model, not a curated record